This is a non-coding RNA of Meleagris gallopavo (turkey), 2012 nucleotides long. The record is from RefSeq and is a predicted model, not a curated record. Lineage: Eukaryota; Metazoa; Chordata; Aves; Galliformes; Phasianidae.
CUCUCCAAUACUUAAGCAUCCAGCUCUCCUCUGCAAGGCUCAUGGAGUGUUUUGAUGGCUCCCAUACAUUGUAUCCCACCAGACUUUUUGAAGCCAUAUCCUGAGGGGUGACCUGAGGGCUGGAUUUGUGAGACAAGCUGCUCUGAAUCACCACCUCCAGCACAGAGUAUCAUAUGAGUGUGGUAGGGAUUGCUGCUGGUGUUUGACUCAUGGAUUCAUGCAUCACUCACCUCUUGAUGCUCCGCAGAGGUAGGAUUUUCCAAGAUAAUCCACUGCACCACACGCUGCAAGGGAUGGGUUUGCUGUUUGUGUGGGACACGGCAUCCUGAGGGCACUGAGUAAAAAGCCUGGAGAGAUGUAAAUGUUCUUUAUAUUAGAAAACUUAUGAGGGGCACCUGUAGGAUGGUCAUUUUUACUGCAGCAAGGAUGUCCUGAUGAACUGCUUUUCAUAUUUGGCUUCCAAAAAAAAUCUUUUAGUCGAUGUCAUGAGAAUUAUUCUCCAAUUUGUAUCAAACCCUCAAAAUGUAAAUAAUUUCCUACAUUCAGCCCCCCUCACUCUUUAAACUGGGUCUGGAAACUAAAUAGCAAAGCACCUUAUAGAUGUUUUCUCUUUUUGUACGAAUAUUCUGUUUGUAUGAAUGUUCUACCUUCUUUCUAAUCUUUUACACCUUUCCAUCAUCAUUCCAACUGCAGUGUUUCUACUGUGUGAUUUUCUCUAAGAAAGUGAAAUGAGUGUGUUCAGAUUGCCUCCAAAUCUGAACUCAGUGUCACAUGCUUUGUACGAUGCACUGAAAAACCAUGUCCAGUCUGCAUUGCAAGCUGUGAGUCCAUCCAUGACCACCAAAAUAUGGAAUAUGCUAAACUAGGGCCUCUGUAAUUAUUCAACAUGAAAUGAUUUCCUAAAUUUCCUGUGAACGGGCUGCAACUGAUUAUUUGCAAAGGUAUCCAUUGAAACAGGUUCUUACUAUGCAGAGAAAUGUCAAGCAACAAAUCCAUUCUAAGAUUUGUUGAGAUGCAUUUGAGCAUUUCCCAACAAGUGGAAAUGUAACACCUCUGCUAGUUUCCAGGUAGAAAGUAAUUCAUGUUGUAGUUAUUUUGGUGGUUGAUUCCUUUGUCAGUGAAUAUUUCACACCAGUAGUAUAUUUGAUGUGAUUUUAGAGUGCUCUGAGAUAAAUAGGCCUGCAUGCCUUUCUUACAAGGAUCAUAAAGAACUGUACAAAUCCUGACUGCAUCUUACAUUUCCCUUUCCACCAAGGAGGUUUGUAUAAGCAGCUGGUUCACAUUUACAAUCACAGAAUAGAAUCAGAGAAUGGUUUGGGUUGGAAGGGACCUUAAGAUCAUGUAGUUCCAACCCCCUGCUAUAGGCAGGGACACCUCCCUCUAGACCAGCUUGCUCACAGCCCCAUCCAGCCUGGCCUUGAACAAAUACUUCCAGGCAGGGAUCACUCACAGCCUCCCUGGGCAACCAGUUCUGGGGGCAUCAAGAUCAAUCCAGACCUUCAAUAUCCUCACCUACUGUGUUCUCUCUUAAUGUCAUUCAGUGCUUCAGGCUUUCUUUACAUACACAGUGAGAAGGAAACAUUUUGAUGUGUCCCACAGUUGCUUAGAAAGAAGAAUGUCCACAGUCUGUGGAAAUGACUGAUAAGAAUUAUUUUGAGAGAGGUUUCAAUGUGAGCUGGGUCUCUGAUCUUACGGAGAUGUCAACCCUUAUACCAGUUGAAAGCUCAGGGUAGAGAAGUUUGCAAACAUCUGAUUGUUUGUGACCAAACUGGAGCCUGAGGUCUUAAAAAUAUCAUGAGAAUUCAAAAUACAGUAGCAAGAGGAAGAAAACACAAAUGGAGGGAAAUACAACUGGGACUUUUAUCUGUGGGGUUUUGGCAUGGUCACUGCAGGGGCCAGGCUGCUGUCCAUGCUCCAGCCGCCUCCCCACCAUGUUACAGAGGUCUUUGCUCUCUAGCAGCUGUCAUCAGUACCAUAUUAAUAUUUCAUAAAUAAACAGUCUCUGCAAACCA